CGCCGCGUGAGCGAAGAAGGCCUUCGGGUCGUAAAGCUCUGUUGUUAGGGAAGAACAAGUGCCAGAGUAACUGCUGGCACCUUGACGGUACCUAACCAGAAAGCCACGGCUAACUACGUGCCAGCAGCCGCGGUAAUACGUAGGUGGCAAGCGUUGUCCGGAAUUAUUGGGCGUAAAGCGCGCGCAGGUGGUUCCUUAAGUCUGAUGUGAAAGCCCACGGCUCAACCGUGGAGGGUCAUUGGAAACUGGGGGACUUGAGUGCAGAAGAGGAAAGUGGAAUUCCAAGUGUAGCGGUGAAAUGCGUAGAGAUUUGGAGGAACACCAGUGGCGAAGGCGACUUUCUGGUCUGUAACUGACACUGAGGCGCGAAAGCGUGGGGAGCGAACAGGAUUAGAUACCCUGGUAGUCCACGCCGUAAACGAUGAGUGCUAAGUGUUAGAGGGUUUCCGCCCUUUAGUGCUGCAGCUAACGCAUUAAGCACUCCGCCUGGGGAGUACGGCCGCAAGGCUGAAACUCAAAGGAAUUGACGGGGGCCCGCACAAGCGGUGGAGCAUGUGGUUUAAUUCGAAGCAACGCGAAGAACCUUACCAGGUCUUGACAUCCUCUGACAACCCUAGAGAUAGGGCUUUCCCCUUCGGGGGACAGAGUGACAGGUGGUGCAUGGUUGUCGUCAGCUCGUGUCGUGAGAUGUUGGGUUAAGUCCCGCAACGAGCGCAACCCUUGAUUCUAGUUGCCAGCAUUCAGUUGGGCACUCUAAGGUGACUGCCGGUGACAAACCGGAGGAAGGUGGGGAUGACGUCAAAUCAUCAUGCC
RNAcentral lists this ribosomal RNA (813 nucleotides) under Peribacillus simplex. RNAcentral describes it as "bacterial SSU rRNA". It matches the Rfam family "Bacterial small subunit ribosomal RNA", at positions 395 to 1199 of the family's 1533-position model. The record is from RNAcentral. Lineage: Bacteria; Bacillati; Bacillota; Bacilli; Caryophanales; Bacillaceae.